This 433-nucleotide ribosomal RNA is filed under the name uncultured bacterium. Its description in RNAcentral is "partial 16S ribosomal RNA". It matches the Rfam family "Bacterial small subunit ribosomal RNA", at positions 29 to 507 of the family's 1533-position model. The record is from RNAcentral.
AACGAACGCUGGCGGCAUGCCUAACACAUGCAAGUCGAACGAGACCUUCGGGUCUAGUGGCGCACGGGUGCGUAACGCGUGGGAAUCUGCCCUUGGGUUCGGAAUAACAGUUGGAAACGACUGCUAAUACCGGAUGAUGACGUAAGUCCAAAGAUUUAUCGCCCAAGGAUGAGCCCGCGUAGGAUUAGCUAGUUGGUGAGGUAAAGGCUCACCAAGGCGACGAUCCUUAGCUGGUCUGAGAGGAUGAUCAGCCACACUGGGACUGAGACACGGCCCAGACUCCUACGGGAGGCAGCAGUGGGGAAUAUUGGACAAUGGGCGAAAGCCUGAUCCAGCAAUGCCGCGUGAGUGAUGAAGGCCUUAGGGUUGUAAAGCUAUUUUACCCGGGAUGAUAAUGACAGUACCGGGAGAAUAAGCUCCGGCUAACUCCGUG